This is a long non-coding RNA of Cucumis melo (muskmelon), 1016 nucleotides long. RefSeq lists it as uncharacterized. The record is from RefSeq and is a predicted model, not a curated record. The transcript is spliced from 5 exons. Lineage: Eukaryota; Viridiplantae; Streptophyta; Magnoliopsida; Cucurbitales; Cucurbitaceae.
UUUAUAAGUUUUCAAUGAUUAUCAUGAGUUAUCAAUUGCAUUUUUAAAGUAUUGUCACUCACUAGGAUUUAUAGCUUUCCCUUCCAAAAUGUUUUACCCACUUUCCAGGUAGAGAUCUAGUUUUCGGUGCUUGAUAGACUGUCUUAAUCUGCUGAAUCUUCUAUAUCGAUUGCCAGUACGUGGUUAGAGCUGUACAUAGAGUCUGUUGUGUUAUGAUGUAUACAUCUUUGUAUGAUAUAGAUACUUUAUAGUUUGGGUAAGUUUAGAAGUUGCGGUUGUGUAAACCUUUGUGGGUUAUGUUUUGGUUAAGGUGUCUCCAGGUUUACUUGCGCAAUCAGUUAUUUCCAGGCUACACUUCAUGUAUAUAUGUUUAUGAUUAGUCUAGGUUCCGCUGUAUUAUGUUGCAUGUAUAAUAGUUUUUAUACUAGAUUAGCAAGUUUAUCACGUUAAUGAAUUCAGCAAAGUCGACAGAUAUCGAUAGAGAAAAGUGUUGUCGGUUGGCUUCACACUGUCUUUCGGUCUAAGCUAGCAGGUAGUCUUAAAGGGGUGUGACAGUAGCAGAUCUGGUGGCGUUGUGUGUGGUUGCAGAUCUGGAAAUAUAGACCACUCACUUCAAAGUGUAAAGAAUCCAUUUGAAAUCAAGCUCCAAAUUUCAUACAAGUGACAAUACCUGAGAUCUCAACAAGAGGCAAGGAGUAGAGCUCACAGAAUUAGACAGCAGGAAGUAGUUAAUAUCUACAAAUUUGUUACAAGCAGUAGUAUUGAAGAAGAUAUCUUGGAGCGAGCAAAGAAAAGAUGGUAGCUUGCCAGAGUUUGGGGUCUCUCAGAAAUGGAGACUCUGUUUUGGGUAUUGAUAUGAAGAAUGAUUGAAGUCAUAUCUUGUUGAAAGCUAAGCGAUUGUGUCGAUGGCCAGACGAUCGUUGAAGGUUUGAAGACUGAUAAGGCGUUUAGGAUUUCUAAUUAUUUAAGUCUUGUAUUAGGAUCUUUUUUCAUGUACUGUUGUAGAAUGUAUGUAU